AAUCUGAGUAAUAAUCUAGUUUAAAAGACUGAAAUCUGAGUAAUAAUCUAGCUUAGAGGACUAAAAUCUGAGAAAUAAUUAUUAGAGGACUAAAAUCUGAGUAAUAAUCUAGCUUAGGGGACUGAUAGGCAUACGACAAUGUCACAGGUAGUGUAAAUACUCUGUAAACAGUUGUAGUUUACAUCUGCCAUGAACGUCCUGUCUUCAGUCUAACCUAUAUUUAUGUUUUUUUUAAGUUACUCUUCCAAAGAAUUUGAUUUAUAUAUACUAGAAAUUCUAUUGGUGUACGUUUUACACCCUAUCCAUGAAAAUAUGAAAUAAAAAGUAUUUUUAAUACUAAGAAAUUUUCUUUACUCUGGAUAUAUAUAGAUAGAUAGAGUGAGAGCUAUGAUCUGUUGUAAAAAUGUAUGCACUUUUUGAAACAUAACUGACAGUGUGAAGAAACUGGAAUUAUGGGUAAUGUGUAUGUAAUGGUAUCCUAAGCCUAAUUCCAUAACACUUUUGUAAUUUCAACAUUGUGUUUGUAUAGGUUGCAGGAAUAUUAUAGUUGAAUUGAAGUAAAAAUUAGUCAAUAAUUCAUUAGUAUACUGAAAACAAAUCUUGGUUGUGGUGUGUUUUUGCUGAUAACAUUUAACGUUGAGUAUUUUUGUUUUUGGCCUUCUGAAUUGAUUGAAAGACAAUUGAAAAUUGUACUGUUUUCAACUGAUAGAUACGAGAUGCUACAGUAGUGAUGUAUAUAUAGUCAAAUAUAAUUCUUGUGAUUAAUUGUGACUGGUGUACAUACUUCGUUAAUGUUAGUUACUUGAAGUAUUUAUUGUAGCUAAUACUUCAUUUUAUUUUAGGAAGAGCACAAAUUCCGUCCAGUAUUUAUUGAUUUGAGUGAUCUUGAAUAAAAAUAUGCAUAAAAAGCGUACUUGUA
Molecule: long non-coding RNA, 919 nt
Organism: Limulus polyphemus (Atlantic horseshoe crab)
Lineage: Eukaryota; Metazoa; Arthropoda; Merostomata; Xiphosura; Limulidae
Exons: 2
Source: RefSeq, a predicted model, not a curated record